AGGGAAUUAGUUUAAUGGUAAAAUUUCGGUCUCCAAAACCGCGGUUAAGUGUUCGACUCACUUAUUCCCUGCCA
Molecule: transfer RNA, 74 nt
Filed under: Bacillota bacterium
Lineage: Bacteria; Bacillati; Bacillota
Description: tRNA-Trp
Rfam family: tRNA
About the family: Transfer RNA (tRNA) molecules are approximately 80 nucleotides in length. Their secondary structure includes four short double-helical elements and three loops (D, anti-codon, and T loops). Further hydrogen bonds mediate the characteristic L-shaped molecular structure. tRNAs have two regions of fundamental functional importance: the anti-codon, which is responsible for specific mRNA codon recognition, and the 3' end, to which the tRNAs corresponding amino acid is attached (by aminoacyl-tRNA synthetases). tRNAs cope with the degeneracy of the genetic code in two manners: having more than one tRNA (with a specific anti-codon) for a particular amino acid; and 'wobble' base-pairing, i.e. permitting non-standard base-pairing at the 3rd anti-codon position.
Source: RNAcentral